Molecule: unclassified non-coding RNA, 400 nt
Filed under: uncultured fungus
Lineage: Eukaryota; Fungi
Description: sequence contains ITS1
Rfam family: 5.8S ribosomal RNA (bases 1-105)
Source: RNAcentral
AAAAUGCGAUAAGUAGCGUGAAUUGCAGACGCUUUGAACGUUAAACCUUCGAACGCACAUUGCGCCAUAGGAGUCUUACCCUAUGGCACAUCUGGUUGAGGGUCGUGAUCAAACACAGCUAAGCUUGGGCUGUAUUAGUGCUAAUUGGCGAAUCAUCCGGCCGGCAUAUGUACUAUUGUUGGCGGUGUUUUGUCAUAAUGCUCUAGAGGGCACACCUUUUUAAUGGGUGCUUCCUUGCCAUACGGACGGGCUGCCUUCGACCGAUUAUGGACCGGCCUUCCAGGUAUCAUAAACGCCUUGGUGUAUACUUGGUUGGCUGUGUGUUCGUCGCUCGGCUAGUACCGUACGUACCUGGUAGUAGAUUUAAUUGAUCGCUUUCCCGACCUCAACUCAGGUGUGA